Molecule: ribosomal RNA, 801 nt
Filed under: uncultured bacterium
Lineage: Bacteria
Description: bacterial SSU rRNA
Rfam family: Bacterial small subunit ribosomal RNA
Source: RNAcentral
AACGAUGAAGAGCAGCUUGCUGCUCGGAUUAGUGGCGCACGGGUGAGUAAUGCAUAGAUAAUGUGCCCCUUAGUUCGGGAUAGCCACUGGAAACGGUGAUUAAUACCGGAUACUCCUUCUUGUCUCAAGGCAAGUCGGGAAAGUUUUUCGCUAAGGGAUCAGUCUAUGUCCUAUCAGCUAGUUGGUGAGGUAAUGGCUCACCAAGGCUAUGACAGGUAUCUGGUUUGAGAGGAUGAUCAGACACACUGGAACUGAGACACGGUCCAGACUCCUACGGGAGGCAGCAGUGAGGAAUAUUGCACAAUGGAGGAAACUCUGAUGCAGCAACGCCGCGUGGAGGAUGACGCAUUUCGGUGUGUAAACUCCUUUUAUUAGGGAAGAUAAUGACGGUACCUAAUGAAUAAGCACCGGCUAACUCCGUGCCAGCAGCCGCGGUAAUACGGAGGGUGCAAGCGUUACUCGGAAUCACUGGGCGUAAAGGGUGCGUAGGCUGGCUUUUAAGUCAGGUGUGAAAUCCAAUGGCUCAACCAUUGAACUGCACUUGAAACUGGGAGCCUAGAGUUCAGAAGGGGCAGAUGGAAUUAGUGGUGUAGGGGUAAAAUCCGUAGAUAUCACUAGGAAUAUCAAAAGCGAAGGCGAUCUGCUGGGAUGAUACUGACGCUGAGGCACGAAAGCGUGGGGAGCAGACAGGAUUAGAUACCCUGGUAGUCCACGCCCUAAACGAUGAAUGCUAGUCGUCGGGAAGCUCGUCUUUUCGGUGACGCACUUAACAGAUUAAGCAUUCCGCCUGGGGAGUACGGU